CUACCUUAUACAGGGGAAUAGCCCAGAGAAUUUGGAUUAAUGCCCCAUAGUGUUAUCGAAUCGCAUGGUUUGAUAACUAAAGUUCCAACGGUAUAAGAUGAGCAUGCGUCCCAUUAGUUAGUUGGUAAGGUAACGGCUUACCAAGACAAUGAUGGGUAGGGGUCCUGAGAGGGAGAUCCCCCACACUGGUACUGAGACACGGACCAGACUCCUACGGGAGGCAGCAGUGAGGAGUAUUUGGGUCCAAUGGGCGCAAGCCUGAACCAGCCAUGCCGCGUGCAGGAAGACGGUCCUAUGGAUUGUAAACUGCUUUUAUACAGGAAGAAACCCUCCCACGUGUGGGAGCUUGACGGUACUGUAGGAAUAAGGAUCGGCUAACUCCGUG
RNAcentral lists this ribosomal RNA (385 nucleotides) under uncultured bacterium. Its description in RNAcentral is "bacterial SSU rRNA". It matches the Rfam family "Bacterial small subunit ribosomal RNA", at positions 126 to 507 of the family's 1533-position model. The record is from RNAcentral.